GAUGAACGCUAGCUACAGGCUUAACACAUGCAAGUCGAGGGGCAGCAUGGUCUUAGCUUGCUAAGGCCGAUGGCGACCGGCGCACGGGUGAGUAACACGUAUCCAACCUGCCGUCUACUCUUGGACAGCCUUCUGAAAGGAAGAUUAAUACAAGAUGGCAUCAUGAGUCCGCAUGUUCACAUGAUUAGAGGUAUUCCGGUAGACGAUGGGGAUGCGUUCCAUUAGAUAGUAGGCGGGGUAACGGCCCACCUAGUCUUCGAUGGAUAGGGGUUCUGAGAGGAAGGUACCCCACAUUGGAGCCGAGACACGGACUAAACUGCUACGGGAGGCAGCAGAAAGUUAUACUAGGCAAUGGGGGCAGGCCUGACACAGCCAAGUAGGGUGAAGGAUGACUGGCCUAGGAGUUGUAAACUUCUAUUAUAAAGGAAAAAAGUCGGGUACGUAUCCCCGCUUGAAGGUACUUUAUGAAUAAGGAACGGCUAACUACGUG
This 490-nucleotide ribosomal RNA is filed under the name uncultured bacterium. RNAcentral's name for it is "partial 16S ribosomal RNA". It matches the Rfam family "Bacterial small subunit ribosomal RNA", at positions 28 to 507 of the family's 1533-position model. The record is from RNAcentral.